This 253-nucleotide ribosomal RNA is filed under the name uncultured bacterium. Its description in RNAcentral is "partial 16S ribosomal RNA". It matches the Rfam family "Bacterial small subunit ribosomal RNA", at positions 524 to 776 of the family's 1533-position model. The record is from RNAcentral.
UACGAAGGUGGCUAGCGUUGUUCGGAAUUACUGGGCGUAAAGCGCACGUAGGCGGAUUUGUUAGUCAGGGGUGAAAUCCCGGGGCUCAACCUCGGAACUGCCUUUGAUACUGCAAGUCUCGAGUCCGGAAGAGGUGAGUGGAAUUCCUAGUGUAGAGGUGAAAUUCGUAGAUAUUAGGAAGAACACAAGUGGCGAAGGCGGCUCACUGGUCCGGUACUGACGCUGAGGUGCGAAAGCGUGGGGAGCAAACAGG